GUAACACCCGAAGCCGGUGGAGUAACCUUUUAGGAGCUAGCCGUCGAAGGUGGGACAAAUGAUUGGGGUGAAGUCGUAACAAGGUAGCCGUAUCGGAAGGUGCGGCUGGAUCACCUCCUUUCUAAGGAUAUAUUCGGAACAUCUUCUUCAGAAGAUGCGGAAUAACGUGACAUAUUGUAUUCAGUUUUGAAUGUUUGCCCAAACCAACAAGCUUGCUUGUUGGGGUUGUAGGACACUCUAUACGGAGUUACAAAGGACGACAUUAGACGAAUCAUCUGGAAAGAUGAAUCAAAGAAGGUAAUAAUCCUGUAGUCGAAAAUGUUGUCUCUCUUGAGUGGAUCCUGAGUACGACGGAGCACGUGAAAUUCCGUCGGAAUCUGGGAGGACCAUCUCCUAAGGCUAAAUACUCUCUAGUGACCGAUAGUGAACCAGUACCGUGAGGGAAAGGUGAAAAGCACCCCGGAAGGGGAGUGAAAUAGAACCUGAAACCGUGUGCUUACAAGUAGUCAGAGCCCGUUAAUGGGUGAUGGCGUGCCUUUUGUAGAAUGAACCGGCGAGUUACGAUUUGAUGCAAGGUUAAGCAGUAAAUGUGGAGCCGUAGCGAAAGCGAGUCUGAAUAGGGCGUUUAGUAUUUGGUCGUAGACCCGAAACCAGGUGAUCUACCCUUGGUCAGGUUGAAGUUCAGGUAACACUGAAUGGAGGACCGAACCGACUUACGUUGAAAAGUGAGCGGAUGAACUGAGGGUAGCGGAGAAAUUCCAAUCGAACCUGGAGAUAGCUGGUUCUCUCCGAAAUAGCUUUAGGGCUAGCCUCAAGUGAUGAUUAUUGGAGGUAGAGCACUGUUUGGACGAGGGGCCCCUCUCGGGUUACCGAAUUCAGACAAACUCCGAAUGCCAAUUAAUUUAACUUGGGAGUCAGAACAUGGGUGAUAAGGUCCGUGUUCGAAAGGGAAACAGCCCAGACCACCAGCUAAGGUCCCAAAAUAUAUGUUAAGUGGAAAAGGAUGUGGCGUUGCCCAGACAACUAGGAUGUUGGCUUAGAAGCAGCCAUCAUUUAAAGAGUGCGUAAUAGCUCACUAGUCGAGUGACACUGCGCCGAAAAUGUACCGGGGCUAAACAUAUUACCGAAGCUGUGGAUUGUCCUUUGGACAAUGGUAGGAGAGCGUUCUAAGGGCGUUGAAGCAUGAUCGUAAGGACAUGUGGAGCGCUUAGAAGUGAGAAUGCCGGUGUGAGUAGCGAAAGACGGGUGAGAAUCCCGUCCACCGAUUGACUAAGGUUUCCAGAGGAAGGCUCGUCCGCUCUGGGUUAGUCGGGUCCUAAGCUGAGGCCGACAGGCGUAGGCGAUGGAUAACAGGUUGAUAUUCCUGUACCACCUAUAAUCGUUUUAAUCGAUGGGGGGACGCAGUAGGAUAGGCGAAGCGUGCGAUUGGAUUGCACGUCUAAGCAGUAAGGCUGAGUAUUAGGCAAAUCCGGUACUCGUUAAGGCUGAGCUGUGAUGGGGAGAAGACAUUGUGUCUUCGAGUCGUUGAUUUCACACUGCCGAGAAAAGCCUCUAGAUAGAAAAUAGGUGCCCGUACCGCAAACCGACACAGGUAGUCAAGAUGAGAAUUCUAAGGUGAGCGAGCGAACUCUCGUUAAGGAACUCGGCAAAAUGACCCCGUAACUUCGGGAGAAGGGGUGCUCUUUAGGGUUAACGCCCAGAAGAGCCGCAGUGAAUAGGCCCAAGCGACUGUUUAUCAAAAACACAGGUCUCUGCUAAACCGUAAGGUGAUGUAUAGGGGCUGACGCCUGCCCGGUGCUGGAAGGUUAAGAGGAGUGGUUAGCUUCUGCGAAGCUACGAAUCGAAGCCCCAGUAAACGGCGGCCGUAACUAUAACGGUCCUAAGGUAGCGAAAUUCCUUGUCGGGUAAGUUCCGACCCGCACGAAAGGCGUAACGAUUUGGGCACUGUCUCAACGAGAGACUCGGUGAAAUCAUAGUACCUGUGAAGAUGCAGGUUACCCGCGACAGGACGGAAAGACCCCGUGGAGCUUUACUGUAGCCUGAUAUUGAAAUUCGGCACAGCUUGUACAGGAUAGGUAGGAGCCUUUGAAACGUGAGCGCUAGCUUACGUGGAGGCGCUGGUGGGAUACUACCCUAGCUGUGUUGGCUUUCUAACCCGCACCACUUAUCGUGGUGGGAGACAGUGUCAGGCGGGCAGUUUGACUGGGGCGGUCGCCUCCUAAAAGGUAACGGAGGCGCUCAAAGGUUCCCUCAGAAUGGUUGGAAAUCAUUCAUAGAGUGUAAAGGCAUAAGGGAGCUUGACUGCGAGACCUACAAGUCGAGCAGGGUCGAAAGACGGACUUAGUGAUCCGGUGGUUCCGCAUGGAAGGGCCAUCGCUCAACGGAUAAAAGCUACCCCGGGGAUAACAGGCUUAUCUCCCCCAAGAGUUCACAUCGACGGGGAGGUUUGGCACCUCGAUGUCGGCUCAUCGCAUCCUGGGGCUGUAGUCGGUCCCAAGGGUUGGGCUGUUCGCCCAUUAAAGCGGUACGCGAGCUGGGUUCAGAACGUCGUGAGACAGUUCGGUCCCUAUCCGUCGUGGGCGUAGGAAAUUUGAGAGGAGCUGUCCUUAGUACGAGAGGACCGGGAUGGACAUACCUCUGGUGUACCAGUUGUCGUGCCAACGGCAUAGCUGGGUAGCUAUGUGUGGACGGGAUAAGUGCUGAAAGCAUCUAAGCAUGAAGCCCCCCUCAAGAUGAGAUUUCCCAACUUCGGUUAUAAGAUCCCUCAAAGAUGAUGAGGUUAAUAGGUUCGAGGUGGAAGCAUGGUGACAUGUGGAGCUGACGAAUACUAAUCGAUCGAAGACUUAAUCAA
This 2851-nucleotide ribosomal RNA is filed under the name Staphylococcus aureus. RNAcentral describes it as "bacterial LSU rRNA". It matches the Rfam family "Bacterial large subunit ribosomal RNA". The record is from RNAcentral. Lineage: Bacteria; Bacillati; Bacillota; Bacilli; Caryophanales; Staphylococcaceae.